AACGCGAAGAACCUUACCAGGACUUGACAUGCCACUUUUUCCCUGAAAGGGGAAGUUCCCGAGUGGACACAGGUGGUGCAUGGCUGUCGUCAGCUCGUGUCUUGAGAUGUUGGGUUAAGUCCCGCAACGAGCGCAACCCUUGUUUUGAGUUGCUAUUUUUAGGAAACUCAAAAGACUGCCGGUGAGAAGCCGGAGGAAGGUGAGGAUGACGUCAAGUCAGCAUGCCCCUUACGUCCUGGGCGACACACGUGCUACAAUGGCCGGGACAAAGAGAUGCAAUCCCGCGAGGGGGAGCCAACCUCAAAAACCCGGUCUCAGUUCGGAUUGUAGGCUGCAACUCGCCUACAUGAAGUCGGAAUCGCUAGUAAUCGCAGUCAGACAUACUGCGGUGAAUACGUUCCCGGGUCUUGUACACACCG
This 419-nucleotide ribosomal RNA is filed under the name uncultured bacterium. Its description in RNAcentral is "bacterial SSU rRNA". It matches the Rfam family "Bacterial small subunit ribosomal RNA", at positions 958 to 1392 of the family's 1533-position model. The record is from RNAcentral.